This 432-nucleotide ribosomal RNA is filed under the name uncultured bacterium. RNAcentral's name for it is "bacterial SSU rRNA". It matches the Rfam family "Bacterial small subunit ribosomal RNA", at positions 29 to 507 of the family's 1533-position model. The record is from RNAcentral.
AGCGAACGCUGGCGGCAGGCCUAAUACAUGCAAGUCGAGCGGUCCCUUCGGGGGCAGCGGCGGACGGGUGAGUAACGCGUGGGAACGUGCCCUUUGGUACGGAACAACUGAGGGAAACUUCAGCUAAUACCGUAUGUGCCCUUCGGGGAAAGAUUUAUCGCCAUUGGAGCGGCCCGCGUUGGAUUAGGUAGUUGGUGAGGUAAAGGCUCACCAAGCCUACGAUCCAUAGCUGGUCUGAGAGGAUGAUCAGCCACACUGGGACUGAGACACGGCCCAGACUCCUACGGGAGGCAGCAGUAGGGAAUCUUGCGCAAUGGGCGAAAGCCUGACGCAGCCAUGCCGCGUGAAUGAUGAAGGUCUUAGGAUUGUAAAAUUCUUUCACCGGGGACGAUAAUGACGGUACCCGGAGAAGAAGCCCCGGCUAACUUCGUG